This 466-nucleotide ribosomal RNA is filed under the name uncultured bacterium. RNAcentral's name for it is "partial 16S ribosomal RNA". It matches the Rfam family "Bacterial small subunit ribosomal RNA", at positions 28 to 507 of the family's 1533-position model. The record is from RNAcentral.
GAUGAAUGCUGGCGGCGUGCUUAACACAUGCAAGUCGAACGAUGAAGCCCAGCUUGCUGGGUGGAUUAGUGGCGAACGGGUGAGUAACACGUGAGUAACCUGCCCUUAACUCUGGGAUAAGCCUGGGAAACUGGGUCUAAUACCGGAUAGGAGCGUCCACCGCAUGGUGGGUGUUGGAAAGAUUUAUCGGUUUUGGAUGGACUCGCGGCCUAUCAGCUUGUUGGUGAGGUAAUGGCUCACCAAGGCGACGACGGGUAGCCGGCCUGAGAGGGUGACCGGCCACACUGGGACUGAGAGACGGCCCAGACGCCUACGGGAGGCAGCAGUGGGGAAUAUUGCACAAUGGGCGCAAGCCUGAUGCAGCGACGCCGCGUGAGGGAUGACGGCCUUCGGGUUGUAAACCUCUUUCAGUAGGGAAGAAGCGAAAGUGACGGUACCUGCAGAAGAAGCACCGGCUAACUACGUG